This 227-nucleotide ribosomal RNA is filed under the name uncultured bacterium. RNAcentral's name for it is "partial 16S ribosomal RNA". It matches the Rfam family "Bacterial small subunit ribosomal RNA", at positions 585 to 810 of the family's 1533-position model. The record is from RNAcentral.
AAGUCGGUUGCGAAAGCCUUCCGCUCAACGGAAGAACGGCAUCCGAUACUGCAUGGCUUGAGUGUGGGAGGGGAGAGUGGAACUUCUGGUGGAGCGGUGAAAUGCGUAGAUAUCAGAAGGAACACCGGCGGCGAAGGCGACUCUCUGGUCCAUAACUGACGCUGAGUGUGCGAAAGCUAGGGGAGCAAACGGGAUUAGAUACCCCGGUAGUCCUAGCCGUAAACGAU